CUCGUUUUACCAGCUGGAACACCUCCUUAGAGUUGAUCAUGGCUCAGCUGGAACACCUCCUUAGAGUUGAUCAUGGCUCAGAGUUGAUCCUGGCUUAGAGUUGAUCAUGGCUCAGCUGGAUCACCUCCUUAGAGUUUGAUCAUGGCUCAGAUUGAACUGCUGGCUGGCAGUGCCUAACACAUGCAAGUCUGAACGGUAUGCACAGAGAGCUUGCUCUCGGGUGACGAGUGGCGGACGUGGUGAGUAAUGUCUGGGAAACUGCCCUGAUGGAGUGGNGUGAUAACUACUGGAAACGGUAGCUAAUACCGCAUAACUGUCUGCAAUGACCAAAGAGUGGGGACCUUCGGGCCUCUUGCCAUCGGAUGUGCCCAGAUGGGAUUAGCUUGUAGUGUGAGUGUAACGGCUCACCUAGUGCGACGAUCCCUAGCUGGUCUGAGAGUGAUGACCAGCCACACUGGAACUGAGACACGGUCCAGACUCCUACGGGAGGCAGCAGUGGUGGAAUAUUGCCACAAUUGGGCUGCAAGCCUGAUAGCAUGCCCAAUGCCCGCGGUGGUAUUUAAAGAAAGGGCC
This 573-nucleotide ribosomal RNA is filed under the name uncultured bacterium. RNAcentral describes it as "bacterial SSU rRNA". The stretch from base 124 to 573 matches the Rfam family "Bacterial small subunit ribosomal RNA", at positions 1 to 434 of the family's 1533-position model. The record is from RNAcentral.